GGAAGGAUCAUUCACACAUGUCUCACUUGCUACCUAACAACCAUGAACUUGUGUCUGCUUUUCUUUGCCAGUACCUCACCUCAGUGGUGGUCUGGUUCGGAAGAGUGGGCGAAAAGGUGCACUCCCUUUUUAGGUGGUUUUUAUCGUAGCCUUUAUUCAUAAACUUUCAGCAAUGGACGUCUUGGUUCCCAAUUCGAUGAAGGACGCAGCGAAUUGCGAUAAGCAGUGCGAAUUGCAGAAAUCUGUGAACCAUCAGACCUCUGAACGCAUACGGCACUUGGGAGAUUCGUUCUCACGGUGUGUUUGGCUCAGUGUCUCGUUUUAUUUCAUCCCGCUCGUUGUAUUGGCGUCGAACUUCGAAUGUAGUUCCGUCGCCGUUGAAAUGCAAGUUGUCAUCCACGAAAGGGUUGGGGUUGGUUCCAUUUCAAUUUGCGGAGCAGCUCAUUCUCAUUUCAAAGUGACCUGAGCUCAAGCAAGGCAACCCGCUGAAUUUAAGCAUAUAAUUAAGCGGAGGAAAAGAAACUAAGCAGGAUUCUCUUAGUAGUGGCGAAUGAACAGGGAACAGCCCAAAAUGAAUAUCACGUGCUUUAUGUGUGUGAAUUGUAGUCUGAAGAAGUGCUUCCAGUGGACGUCGCAGAGAAAAGUCUCUUGGAAGAGAACGCCAGAGAGGGUGAGAGUCCCGUCGCUGUUCUGCAGUGCGUCUACAUACGGAGUGCUUUCUUAGAGUCGCGUUUCUUGGGAGUGAAACGCUAAGUGGGUGGUAAACUUCAUCUAAGGCUAAAUAGUUAUGGGAAACCGAUAGCAAAUAAGUACCUUGAGGGAAAGAUGAAAAGAACUUUGAAAAGAGAGUUAAAAUUCCCCGAAAUUGCUGAAAAGGAAGCGGUUGAAAUGCUAGUGUACAUCCAGGGAUAAACGCUGUUUUGAUGUAGCAGAUCAGCGCAUGCACUUAACGGCAUGUUUUGCGUCUGCAGCAUUCCGAGCGGCUGUUUCUCCAGGGGGACUCAGUUACGGUUGGUGCUAUUGCGUGGAUUGGGUUAAACGGGCGUGCUCUUUGGAGCCGUCGCUGUUGCCUCUUGCAUCGAAUGGUGGCCGACUGAGGGUUGCGCGAUCCAGGGUUCUGGACUCGCCGCGUAGCUGAUCGACGAAUUUCCACCGGCCCGUCUUGAAACACGGAUCAAGGAGUCCAACAUAUAUGCGUGUCCGCGGGGAGACAAUCCUGUGGGCGCAAUGAAAGUGAACGGUUCCGCCCGGAACGACCGACCACAAUCGCCGAGAGAGGUUUGAGUACGAGCAUAUCUGUUGGGACCCGAAAGAUGGUGAACUAUUCCUGAAUAGGGUGAAGCCAGGGGAAACCCUGGUGGAGGCUCGUAGCGAUACUGACGUGCAAAUCGUUCGUCAAAUUUGGGUAUAGGGGCGAAAGACUAAUCGAACCAUCUAGUAGCUGGUUCCCUC
Molecule: unclassified non-coding RNA, 1452 nt
Filed under: uncultured fungus
Lineage: Eukaryota; Fungi
Description: sequence contains 18S rRNA gene, ITS1, 5.8S rRNA gene, ITS2, 28S rRNA gene
Rfam family: Eukaryotic large subunit ribosomal RNA (bases 459-1452)
Source: RNAcentral